GUCUUUUUGAAAGUAAAAAAAGUCAAGCCUGCCCGCUGAUGAAUUUUAAGGGCCGCGGUAUUUUGACCGUGCGAAGGUAGCGUAAUCAUUAGUUUUUUAAUUGGAAUCUUGUAUGAAUGGUUAGACAAGAGAAACUCUGUCUCUUUAUUAAAAAUUGAAUUUAACUUUUAAGUGAAAAGGCUUAAAUUAGUUAAAGGGACGAUAAGACCCUAUAAAGCUUUAAUAUAGAAUGCCAUUUGGUUGAAUUUUUUAUAAAAGUUUCGUGGCAUAGUUUAUUUUAUUGGGGCGAUAAGAGUAAAAUGAUUUUUAACUGCUUGAAUUUAGAUACAUAAAUUAUUGUAAUAGAUAAGUAAGAGAUCCUUGAUAAAGAUUAUAAGUUUAAGUUACUUUAGGGAUAACAGCGUUAUUCUUUUUGAGAGUACAUAUCGAAAAAAGAGUUUGCGACCUCGAUGUUGAAUUAAAAUUUCUUUAUAGAAGCAGAAACUAUAAAAGUUGGUCUGUUCGACCUUUAAAAUUUUACAUGAUUUGAGUUCAAACCGGCGUGAG
RNAcentral lists this ribosomal RNA (546 nucleotides) under Macrophthalmus japonicus. RNAcentral describes it as "partial 16S rRNA". It matches the Rfam family "Bacterial large subunit ribosomal RNA", at positions 1831 to 2625 of the family's 2925-position model. Lineage: Eukaryota; Metazoa; Arthropoda; Malacostraca; Decapoda; Macrophthalmidae. The record is from RNAcentral.